GGGCCCAUAGCUCAGCGGUUAGAGCACCACGCUUAUAACGUGGGGGUCGAUGGUUCAAAUCCAUCUGGGCCCACCU
Molecule: transfer RNA, 76 nt
Filed under: Candidatus Falkowiibacteriota bacterium
Lineage: Bacteria; Candidatus Falkowiibacteriota
Description: tRNA-Ile
Rfam family: tRNA
About the family: Transfer RNA (tRNA) molecules are approximately 80 nucleotides in length.
Source: RNAcentral